CCUACGGGUGGCAGCAGUGGGGAAUAUUGGACAAUGGGGGGAACCCUGAUCCAGCGACGCCGCGUGAGUGAAGAAGUAUUUCGGUAUGUAAAGCUCUAUCAGCAGGGAAGAAAGAAAUGACGGUACCUGACUAAGAAGCCCCGGAUAACUACGUGCCAGCAGCCGCGGUAAUACGUAGGGGGCAAGCGUUAUCCGGAUUUACUGGGUGUAAAGGGAGCGUAGACGGCGAUGCAAGUCUGAAGUGAAAGGCGGGGGCUCAACCCCCGGACUGCUUUGGAAACUGUAUGGCUGGAGUGCAGGAGAGGUAAGUGGAAUUCCUGGUGUAGCGGUGAAAUGCGUAGAUAUUAGGAGGAACACCAGUGGCGAAGGCGGCUUACUGGACUGUAACUGACGUUGAGGCUCGAAAGCGUGGGGAGCAAACAGGAUUAGAUACCCCUGUAGUC
RNAcentral lists this ribosomal RNA (443 nucleotides) under uncultured bacterium. RNAcentral describes it as "partial 16S ribosomal RNA". It matches the Rfam family "Bacterial small subunit ribosomal RNA", at positions 338 to 795 of the family's 1533-position model. The record is from RNAcentral.